RNAcentral lists this ribosomal RNA (300 nucleotides) under Triticum aestivum (bread wheat). Its description in RNAcentral is "partial small subunit ribosomal RNA". Lineage: Eukaryota; Viridiplantae; Streptophyta; Magnoliopsida; Poales; Poaceae. The record is from RNAcentral.
AUGCUUCUGCCAUUACGUAAGAGGGGCCACACCAAGGUCAAAGAGAUGAACUGCGACAACCGCUACAAGCCAUAUUACAGGAGAGCCGGGCUCUUGGGUUUUGUGCUCCAGUUCAAGCGUACGCCGCCGACGCUUGUCCACACGGCUCUCACAUCGUUGGUGGACCGUUGGCGGCCCGAGACGCACUCUUUCCAUCUCCCAUGUGGUGAGAUGACGGUGACGCUCGAGGACUUCGCCAUGAUCACGACCCUACCGAUCAACGACCAUGCUCUCAUUGGGCGCGUGGAUAGGAAGAAUUGA